GGAGGGUCUCUCCAUUCCAUCCGAAUCUAGCUGCUGCUGCUGCUGCUGGUUAGCUCAAUCGAUCAAUCAAUGGCGGCAGCAACGGCAACUGCAACUGCAACUGAGGCUGCCGGCCACCACCAGGAGCAGCAGCAGCGUUUCCGCGUCGUCGACACGGCCCUGGUGGCGCCUGCAGCUGCUCCCGCACUGCCGCCGCGCUCCAUCCCGCUCACCUUCUUCGACGUCAAGUGGCUGCACCUCCCGCCCGUGGAGCGCGUCCUCUUGUACCGCCUCUCCCCGGACGCCGACGUCCCCGCCAUUCUCUCCGGUCUCAGGACCUCCCUCUCCCAGGCCCUCCGCGCCUUCUACCCGAUGGCCGGCCACGUCCGCAUGCCGGCCACCAAUAACCGCCGCCACGAGCUGUGCUACCGCCCCGGCGACGCCGUCCCCUUCACCACCGCGGAGUACAACGUGGACAUCGACCACCUCAUCGCCGACGACUCCGUCCCCGUGCAGGUGGCCCAGCUCGCCCCUCUCGCGCCGCACCUGCCUAAGGGCCGCGCCGUGCUCGCCGUGCAGGCCACGCUGCUGCUCGGCCGCCGGGGCCUCGCGGUCGGCGUCACCGUCCACCACACCACCUGCGACGGCGCAGGGUCCACGCACUUCCUCCACACAUGGGCCGCCGCCGCAGCCGCAAGAGCAGAUGAGCACGGUCAUCUCGUCAUCCCCCCGCCCCCCGUCAUCGACCGGGAACUCAUCCCGGACCCCAGGGGCCUGUACGACGUGUACCUCAGAAGCAUGCCGCCCAUGGUGUCCCAGGACGACUUUGAGUUCGUGCUGGGCAAGCCUCAGGAUCCCGGCGAGGACAAGGCCCUGGCCACGUUCACGCUGUCCCAGCAGCUUCUGCAGAGCAUCAAGAGCGCGGUCGCCCACGAGGCGGCGCGGCGUGGCAUGGUGACGCCGCCCCGGUGCUCGUCGAUCCUCGCCACCUACGGCUUCAUCUGGUCCUGCUACUGCCGAGCCCGAGGGGCGGCGGCGGCGGCGGCAGAGAGGAGCUACUUCCUCUUCUCCGUGGACCAGCGCUCUCGCCUGAAGCCGGCCGCCGUCCCGGAGAAGUACCUGGGCAACUGCUGCUGCCCGGCCAUCGCGAGGGCGCGGGCGGACGAGGUGUCCGCCGGGGGCAUCGCGGGGCUGUUCGCGGCGUGCGCGGCGGUGGCGGCGGCGUUGGAGGAGGAGGUGCGCGAGGGGGCGCAGGAGCGGUGGGACACGUGCGUGGCGCGGGUGAAGGAGGCCGCGGCCAAGGGGAUGCUGUCCGUGGCCGGAUCGCCCAGGUUCCGCGUCUACGACCUCGACUUUGGAUUCGGCCGGCCGGAGAAGGUGGACAUGGUGUCGGUGGCCAAGACCGGCGCCAUCUCCGUGGCGGACGCGCGUGUUGGAGGUGGAGGCGUGGAGGUGGGUAUCUCUCUGCCGGUGGCGUCGGGUGACAUGGACCGCUUCCGACAGAGCGUUGCAGACGGGAUGGAGUGGCUCCGGUUGCUGUGAUUGCAUCAUUUGCAUGAUGUGUGCGUGU
Molecule: unclassified non-coding RNA, 1549 nt
Filed under: Zea mays
Lineage: Eukaryota; Viridiplantae; Streptophyta; Magnoliopsida; Poales; Poaceae
Description: misc RNA Zm00001eb065220
Source: RNAcentral